Molecule: ribosomal RNA, 429 nt
Filed under: Gemmatimonadota bacterium
Lineage: Bacteria; Pseudomonadati; Gemmatimonadota
Description: Gemmatimonadetes bacterium partial 16S ribosomal RNA
Rfam family: Bacterial small subunit ribosomal RNA
Source: RNAcentral
UAGGGAAUCUUCGGCAAUGGACGAAAGUCUGACCGAGCAACGCCGCGUGAGUGAAGAAGGUUUUCGGAUCGUAAAACUCUGUUGUUAGAGAAGAACAAGGACGUUAGUAACUGAACGUCCCCUGACGGUAUCUAACCAGAAAGCCACGGCUAACUACGUGCCAGCAGCCGCGGUAAUACGUAGGUGGCAAGCGUUGUCCGGAUUUAUUGGGCGUAAAGCGAGCGCAGGCGGUUUCUUAAGUCUGAUGUGAAAGCCCCCGGCUCAACCGGGGAGGGUCAUUGGAAACUGGGAGACUUGAGUGCAGAAGAGGAGAGUGGAAUUCCAUGUGUAGCGGUGAAAUGCGUAGAUAUAUGGAGAAACACCAGUGGCGAAGGCGGCUCUCUGGUCUGUAACUGACGCUGAGGCGCGAAAGCGUGGGGAGCAAACAGG